GACGAACGCUGGCGGCGUGCUUAACACAUGCAAGUCGAACGGAAAGGCCCUGCUUUUGUGGGGUGCUCGAGUGGCGAACGGGUGAGUAACACGUGAGUAACCUGCCCUUGACUUUGGGAUAACUUCAGGAAACUGGGGCUAAUACCGGAUAGGAGCUCCUGCUGCAUGGUGGGGGUUGGAAAGUUUCGGCGGUUGGGGAUGGACUCGCGGCUUAUCAGCUUGUUGGUGGGGUAGUGGCUUACCAAGGCUUUGACGGGUAGCCGGCCUGAGAGGGUGACCGGCCACAUUGGGACUGAGAUACGGCCCAGACUCCUACGGGAGGCAGCAGUGGGGAAUAUUGCACAAUGGGCGGAAGCCUGAUGCAGCAGCGCCGCGUGCGGGAUGACGGCCUUCGGGUUGUAAACCGCUUUCGCCUGUGACGAAGCGUGAGUGACGGUAAUGGGUAAAGAAGCGCCGGCUAACUACGUG
Molecule: ribosomal RNA, 468 nt
Filed under: uncultured bacterium
Lineage: Bacteria
Description: partial 16S ribosomal RNA
Rfam family: Bacterial small subunit ribosomal RNA
Source: RNAcentral